This 171-nucleotide non-coding RNA is filed under the name pig gut metagenome. The record is from RNAcentral. RNAcentral also lists the same sequence under 1 other name.
AUGCGCUUCGGUGAAAAGGGAAUCGGGUGAGAAUCCCGAGCAGAUCCGCUGCUGUGUGCUUCGGAAAGAAUCUGCGGACAACAAUCCAAAUACUAAGCCACUGUGUCGAGUGCCGAUGCGGGAAGGCAGUCCGCCGAAAAGAAGUAAGCCAGAAGACCUGCCAAGGUUUAU